RNAcentral lists this ribosomal RNA (254 nucleotides) under uncultured bacterium. Its description in RNAcentral is "partial 16S ribosomal RNA". It matches the Rfam family "Bacterial small subunit ribosomal RNA", at positions 524 to 776 of the family's 1533-position model. The record is from RNAcentral.
UACGUAGGCAGCGAGCGUUGUUCGGAGUUACUGGGCGUAAAGGGUGUGUAGGCGGUUGUUUAAGUUUGGUGUGAAAUCUCCCGGCUCAACUGGGAGGGUGCGCCGAAUACUGAAUGACUUGGAGUGCGGGAGAGGUGAGUGGAAUUCCUGGUGUAGCGGUGAAAUGCGUAGAUAUCAGGAGGAACACCGGUGGUGUAGACGGCUCACUGGACCGUAACUGACGCUGAGACACGAAAGCCAGGGGAGCAAACGGG